Small nucleolar RNA from Arachis stenosperma, 110 nucleotides. The record is from RefSeq and is a predicted model, not a curated record. NCBI's taxonomy places the organism in Eukaryota, Viridiplantae, Streptophyta, Magnoliopsida, Fabales, Fabaceae.
AUUCGGUGAUGAGGGCAAGAAUAAAAUAACUUCUUGAAUCGCUCCUAGUACUCAUGGAGCGUCUCCAACUCACUUUGUAUAAUGCAAGAAAUUUCUUUCCUCAACCGAUU